RNAcentral lists this transfer RNA (73 nucleotides) under Canis lupus familiaris (dog). It matches the Rfam family "tRNA". From Rfam's summary of the family: Transfer RNA (tRNA) molecules are approximately 80 nucleotides in length. Lineage: Eukaryota; Metazoa; Chordata; Mammalia; Carnivora; Canidae. The record is from Rfam by way of RNAcentral. RNAcentral also lists the same sequence under 2 other names.
GCCUGGCUGGCUCAGAUGGAAGAGCAUGCAAUUUUUAAUCUUGAGGUUGUGAGUUUGAGCCCCAUGUUGGGCA